This is a long non-coding RNA of Alnus glutinosa, 225 nucleotides long. RefSeq lists it as uncharacterized. The transcript is spliced from 3 exons. Lineage: Eukaryota; Viridiplantae; Streptophyta; Magnoliopsida; Fagales; Betulaceae. The record is from RefSeq and is a predicted model, not a curated record.
GUCCCCCCUCAAUCAUUUCUCGUGAAAGGAUGCUCGGCCAUGAUGGUUUUACUUUGGCAUUCUUCCAAGUUUGUUGGGAUGUGAUCAAAGCAGAUAUUAUGGGGGUGUUCCAUGACUUUCAUGCUAGAAUUUGAGUUUCUAUUUUGAGUGAAAAAUUUACCUGCAGAAAUGUCACUUUGGUGCUAAUAGAGAGAAGUUACGUGAGUUAGCUUUGAGUGGCAUACC